RNAcentral lists this long non-coding RNA (456 nucleotides) under Gallus gallus (chicken). The record is from RNAcentral. Lineage: Eukaryota; Metazoa; Chordata; Aves; Galliformes; Phasianidae.
AUUUGUCCCAUUCUGUGUUUUUUCUUAAUUUCUUAACAGAAGAAAACUAGGAAGAUUGAUUUCUAGCUGAAACGAGACAAAAUGAUGGAGCAAGAGGUUAGAAAAAGCCUCUCGUGAGAAAGAAGUGACAAGUUUGAAGACAUAAGUGUGUGGCAGAAAGUGAGAAAGAACUGGAAUUUCCCAGCUCUUUGGCAGAAAAAGGUGCAGAUGAGACAUGCAAGAGCCACUUUAUCCUACCGGGAACACUGGAGCUGAUUACCAAAGGCUUUUCUAAUGUGUCCCUGGAGAGCCACAGAGCAAUACAGACAAUUCCAGCAUCUCACUUGUACCUCGGGAAGCAAAGAAGAGCUACAUUUAAGAUGGAAAAGAUAUUAAAACCCAGAAAGCUCUUCCACUGACCGGGGGCACCACAGGAAUUCCUUUUGCUUUGAACAGACGCAGCGCCCUUCCUCCUCC